This is a long non-coding RNA of Hydra vulgaris (swiftwater hydra), 368 nucleotides long. RefSeq lists it as uncharacterized. NCBI's taxonomy places the organism in Eukaryota, Metazoa, Cnidaria, Hydrozoa, Anthoathecata, Hydridae. The record is from RefSeq and is a predicted model, not a curated record.
AUCAUGUGACGAAACAAUAAAUUACUAAAUAAUUUUUUAAACGCUAUUAGAAAUCUUUUCAAAAAAUUUUUUAGAACCUCUAUUAAACUCAAAAUGGACGAACUAAAGAAACCAUCAAACUAGUAUAUGCAAUAAACGCUUUUGAAAAUGACCAGUAUUUGUACUUGAAGCAAGCAAAGCCUUGGUGAAAAUAUUGGAUUUGUCAAAAUGCUUAACUUUAUUGAGUUUGUCUCGCUCAUUUCUAUUCCCGCGCUUAUGCUGUAUGGAAUGUUCAAGAUAUUUAUGUUGGCUGUACUUAUUUUGUAAUAAAAAUGCUUUGUGAAAGUUGAUUUUAUUUUAAAUUUUUUUGUUUAUUAAAUGUAGAAAAA